This 484-nucleotide ribosomal RNA is filed under the name uncultured bacterium. RNAcentral describes it as "partial 16S ribosomal RNA". It matches the Rfam family "Bacterial small subunit ribosomal RNA", at positions 28 to 523 of the family's 1533-position model. The record is from RNAcentral.
GACGAACGCUGGCGGCGUGCUUAACACAUGCAAGUCGAACGAUGAGCCCGGAACUUGCUCCGGUGGAUUAGUGGCGAACGGGUGAGUAACACGUGAGUAACCUGCCCUUGACUCUGGGAUAACUGCGGGAAACUGUAGCUAAUACCGGAUACGACCCUCGGCGGCAUCGCCAGGGGGUGGAAAGAAUUUCGGUCCAGGAUGGACUCGCGGCCUAUCAGCUAGUUGGUGAGGUAACGGCUCACCAAGGCGACGACGGGUAGCCGGCCUGAGAGGGUGACCGGCCACGCUGGGACUGAGACACGGCCCAGACUCCUACGGGAGGCAGCAGUGGGGAAUAUUGCACAAUGGGCGCAAGCCUGAUGCAGCAACGCCGCGUGAGGGAUGACGGCCUUCGGGUUGUAAACCUCUUUUAGUAGAGAAGAAGCGAAAGUGACGGUACCUGCAGAAAAAGCACCGGCUAACUACGUGCCAGCCGCCGCGGUAA